GGGUCAGUAGGUUGGUCGUGCCACCGGUACGUACUGGUCUCACUGAUUCCUCCUUCCUGAAGAACCGUAAUGCCAUUAAUUUGGUGUUGCGGGGAAACAGGACUGUUACUUUGAAAAAAUUAGAGUGUUUAAAGCAAGCUAACGCUUGAAUACAUUAGCAUGGAAUAAUGAAAUAGGACGAUCGACCCUAUUUUGUUGGCUUCUAGGAUUGACGUA
RNAcentral lists this ribosomal RNA (216 nucleotides) under Glomeromycotina sp. Its description in RNAcentral is "partial small subunit ribosomal RNA". The stretch from base 44 to 216 matches the Rfam family "Eukaryotic small subunit ribosomal RNA", at positions 690 to 864 of the family's 1831-position model. The record is from RNAcentral. Lineage: Eukaryota; Fungi; Glomeromycota.